Xiphophorus maculatus (southern platyfish) is the source of this 72-nucleotide non-coding RNA. NCBI's taxonomy places the organism in Eukaryota, Metazoa, Chordata, Actinopteri, Cyprinodontiformes, Poeciliidae. The record is from Rfam.
UCCUUGUUAGUACAGUGGUGAGUAUCCCCGCCUGUCAGGCGGGAGACCGGGGUUCGAUUCCCCGACGGGGAG